GUUCGGCUACAUCACUGGGGCGCCAUGGUGCCUGGAGCUGGGCAGUUUUCUCAUCAGAGUGGGGACUGGUAAGAGUGACCUCCCCGCCAGGUUCUGUGUGUUGCCGGCUGAAGAAGGGUAGCUGAAAAAUUCAGACCCAGCACAGUGUUUAUGUUGGUCAAAAAUAGAAAACUAUGUCUGGCGCGGCCGAGGCGGGAGGACCCUUCAGGCCAAGAGCAGCCUAGCAACAUGGCGCAACCCCAUCUCUGUAGUCCUACCUCAGCCCCCCAGCUACUUGAACCCAAAGGUUCAAGGCUCCAGUGAGCUAUGAUCCCACCACAGCAUUCCAGCCUGCGAGAUUGAGAUGAUGAUUAUUCCCCACCUUCUAAGAGACAAAGACCAACGAGCCACCACAGCCACCAGUCCCAGAACCCGCCAAUGCUGGGGAACGGAAAAUGAGGGAGUUCAACUCUGAGAAAUGGAAUCAUCGUAUCGCUGAUCUACGUAAACAAACUGAAGAAUUGUCUGAAAGAAAAUAUGACAUGAACUUAUGAAUUCAACAGGUGAAGAUUUACAACUUGAUAAAUCAACUUUGUCAGCUCGAGCUGUAAAAGCCAAAGGUCCGGUGAUGAUCCCAUACCCUUUUUUCCAGUCUCAUGUUGAAGAUUUUUAUGUAGAAGGCCUUCCCAAAGGAAUUUUUUUUUUUUUUUUUUGAGAUGGAGUUUUCACUCUUAUCGCCCAGGCUGGGGUGCAAUGGCGCAACCUUGCUGGUCACUGCAACCUCUGCCUCCUGGGUUCAAGAAAUUCUCCUGCCUUAGCCUCCCAAGUCACUGGGAUUACAGGUGCCCACCACCACACCAGGCUAAUUUUUGUAUUUUUAGUGGAGAUGCGGUUUCACCAUGUUGGCCGGGCCAGUCUCGAACUCCUGACGUCAAGUGAUCUUCCCGCCUCGACUCCUGAUAUCAAGUGAUCUUCCCGCCUCGGCCUCCCAGAGUGCUGAGAUUACAGACGUGAACCCAUGCCUGGCCAGGAAUUUUGUUUUUUAGGAAGGCUUUCUACUAAUGGAAUUCCUGGCCUUGAGAGGAUGUUACUUUAGAAGGAAAGGAUUUUUUUGUUAUUAAAAGAGCCACCUAAGCUGAAGAUUCCCUUGAGAACAAGUACUGUCCCUAGUUUCCCAGUGCUGGAAUAUAGAAAAUGGAUGGACAAGUAAAUCCCACUCAGCACCCAUAGUCCAGGCAUGGGGACCUCAACACACCUGAGCCCCAGACAUCACCUUUCAUUCUGGACCUACCAUGAAAGACUUCUGAAUCCAGGAAGAGAAACUGACUGGGCAACAUGUUAUUCAGAGAUGGCAUCUUGCUCUGUUGCUUAGGCUACAGUACAGUGACAUGAUCAUGGUUCACUGUAGCCUCAAACUCCUGGGCUCAAGUGGUUCUCUCACUUCAGUCUCCCAAGUAGCUGGGACUACAGACAUGUGCCA
RNAcentral lists this long non-coding RNA (1459 nucleotides) under Homo sapiens (human). RNAcentral's name for it is "PREDICTED lncRNA (TCONS_00012763)". The record is from RNAcentral. Lineage: Eukaryota; Metazoa; Chordata; Mammalia; Primates; Hominidae.